AGUCGAGGGGCUCAGGAAGAAGCUUGCUUUCUUUGCUGGCGACCGGCGCACGGGUGAGUAACACGUAUCCAACCUGCCCUUUACUCGGGGAUAGCCUUUCGAAAGAAAGAUUAAUACCCGAUAGCAUAAUGAUUCCGCAUGGUUUCAUUAUUAAAGGAUUCCGGUAAAGGAUGGGGAUGCGUUCCAUUAGGUUGUUGGUGAGGUAACGGCUCACCAAGCCUUCGAUGGAUAGGGGUUCUGAGAGGAAGGUCCCCCACAUUGGAACUGAGACACGGUCCAAACUCCUACGGGGGAGGCAGCAGUGAGGAAUAUUGGUCAAUGGGCGCUAGCCUGAACCAGCCAAGUAGCGUGAAGGAUGAAGGCUCUAUGGGUCGUAAACUUCUUUUAUAUAAGAAUAAAGUGCAGUAUGUAUACUGUUUUGUAUGUAUUAUAUGAAUAAGGAUCGGCUAACUCCGUGCCAGCAGCCGCGGUAAUACGGAGGAUCCGAGCGUUAUCCGGAUUUAUUGGGUUUAAAGGGAGCGUAGGUGGACUGGUAAGUCAGUUGUGAAAGUUUGCGGCUCAACCGUAAAAUUGCAGUUGAUACUGUCAGUCUUGAGUACAGUAGAGGUGGGCGGAAUUCGUGGUGUAGCGGUGAAAUGCUUAGAUAUCACGAAGAACUCCGAUUGCGAAGGCAGCUCACUGGACUGCAACUGACACUGAUGCUCGAAAGUGUGGGUAUCAAACAGGAUUAGAUACCCUGGUAGUCCACACAGUAAACGAUGAAUACUCGCUGUUUGCGAUAUACAGUAAGCGGCCAAGCGAAAGCAUUAAGUAUUCCACCUGGGGAGUACGCCGGCAACGGUGAAACUCAAAGGAAUUGACGGGGGCCCGCACAAGCGGAGGAACAUGUGGUUUAAUUCGAUGAUACGCGAGGAACCUUACCCGGGCUUAAAUUGCAGUGGAAUGAUGUGGAAACAUGUCAGUGAGCAAUCACCGCUGUGAAGGUGCUGCAUGGUUGUCGUCAGCUCGUGCCGUGAGGUGUCGGCUUAAGUGCCAUAACGAGCGCAACCCUUAUCUUCAGUUACUAACAGGUCAUGCUGAGGACUCUGGAGAGACUGCCGUCGUAAGAUGUGAGGAAGGUGGGGAUGACGUCAAAUCAGCACGGCCCUUACGUCCGGGGCUACACACGUGUUACAAUGGGGGGUACAGAAGGCAGCUAGCGGGUGACCGUAUGCUAAUCCCAAAAUCCUCUCUCAGUUCGGAUCGAAGUCUGCAACCCGACUUCGUGAAGCUGGAUUCGCUAGUAAUCGCGCAUCAGCCACGGCGCGGUGAAUACGUUCCCGGGCCUUGUACACACCGCCCGUCAAGCCAUGGGAGCCGGGGGUACCUGAAGUACGUAACCGCAAG
RNAcentral lists this ribosomal RNA (1386 nucleotides) under Bacteroides fragilis. RNAcentral describes it as "16S ribosomal RNA". It matches the Rfam family "Bacterial small subunit ribosomal RNA". Lineage: Bacteria; Pseudomonadati; Bacteroidota; Bacteroidia; Bacteroidales; Bacteroidaceae. The record is from RNAcentral.